CACGUAGGGGGCGAGCGUUGUCCGGAUUCAUUGGGCGUAAAGGGUGCGUAGGCGGCGCGGUAAGUCGGGUGUGAAAUCUCGGGGCUUAACUCCGAAACUGCAUUCGAUACUGCCGUGCUUGAGGACUGGAGAGGAGACUGGAAUUUACGGUGUAGCGGUGAAAUGCGUAGAUAUCGUAAGGAAGACCAGUGGCGAAGGCGGGUCUCUGGACAGUUCCUGACGCUGAGGCACGAAGGCCAGGGGAGCAAACGGG
This 253-nucleotide ribosomal RNA is filed under the name uncultured bacterium. RNAcentral's name for it is "partial 16S ribosomal RNA". It matches the Rfam family "Bacterial small subunit ribosomal RNA", at positions 524 to 776 of the family's 1533-position model. The record is from RNAcentral.